Hyla sarda is the source of this 857-nucleotide long non-coding RNA. RefSeq lists it as uncharacterized. The record is from RefSeq and is a predicted model, not a curated record. The transcript has 4 exons. Lineage: Eukaryota; Metazoa; Chordata; Amphibia; Anura; Hylidae.
GCCGCUUAUACAGGCUGCGUGUAGAUCUGCCGCUUGCUCCGCCCAUUCCAUGUGGACACGCCCACCAAGCGAUGUUUCUCUGGACGUGCUGCUUUUCCCGCUGUUUUUGCCAGGUUAUUUUUAGGUGCUCGGAAACCCUCAAUCUUAACAAGUCAUUCCCAGACGUCGGUAUCAGAACAGUGAUUAAAUAUACCAUCUGUGCUAGCUGAAGAAUUGUGAAAGAGGUUUCACACUUGACUGACCCCAUACAGACCAGACCUCAGCUAACACAGAAAUCUGUAUCUUAUACUAAACCAUCACAAGCCUUUCUGGAAAAAGAAAAAACAUUUAAGAACCGCACUUAGCAACAGAAAGUGUAAGCUGAUCCCAUCAGCAACAUCUGGCCUGAACCAUUUGUCUAAAGUCCAAAAGACAAAGCAGAAGAAAGGAAUUGCGUCUGUCUUGACAGUCUGUGCAGUACACCAUGGGGAACAGGAAGAAAACAGAGAUGAUACAAUGGGAUUUUAAAUGAAGCAACAUGUUGAAAGCAUAUUAUUAGUGAACAUGACGUUCCUUAGAUUCCUCCACGUUUGGAAUGAAAUGAAUUCUGAAAGUAAUAGUGAGCAUCUGCUGGAAGCACUGAAUUGCUUGUACCUAAUAUGUAAAUGACAAAGUCCAAAAAAUGUCAGCACAAGACAACCUCCCGUCCAUGCCAGUGAUUGUCAGUGAGCCAAACUGACUACAAUAGUAGUGACUACAGUACUUCAAUUAUUUUUAAUACAAAAUAGAAUUGAUUCAGUGUUUUCAAUGGGAUUCUGCUGCACCGUGUGCAAUGGAAUAUCUGCCAUGGAAAUUCCAAUUCUGGCCUCCACCAAAAG